UUCUAAAAUGUCAGUGCGUUCGGUGUAAUGGCGUCGAUACAAUCUCUGUCUGCGUCCCUCUUUUAAUACAAGGUUAUAAAGCUAACGUUUUGUCCCGGCUUUGUAAGUGAAAAAUGCUAAAAACAAACAUAACAUAAAUAAGAUUCCUAGAGACCUACCAUAGAAUGGUCCCACCAUUAUACCAUUGAUGUCGUAGUAGAUGACAGACACAAGCCUUGGCAACUGAUAAGUAGCAACAACAUUCCCAAAGAGGAUAGUAAUUACCGUACAAAGCAGUAGCAAACAUGGUCAUUGUCACUCCAGCCACUGCAUAGUGUACGUGAUAGUACCGUACCUGUCGCGAUCGCGAUAGUCCAUUAAAGGGCAAUCAAGCAGAAAAGUCCGCGGGGUAAGCGCUCCGGAUCCAAUUAGGCGCAGCGUGGUAAAUAUAUUAAAUUGCUCCGGAUACAUUUACAUUGACGAAAGAGAGUCGCGGUGAGUUAGCUUAGUAAUCUUUGACGGGAUUACUCCAUAGACAAAGAAUAUUUUAUUUUACGAAUUUUUGAAAUCAUAACUAUGCAGAGAAAUAUACUAUUUCUGCUUAGUUGGUAUAAUUAUCUAUAUUCUAACCCUGUUAUUCAUAAAAAAGUUUAAACCAAAAUAUGUUUUGUCUCGUUCUGUCAAUGUAAAAUAUUGUAUUGCGAUGGUGACAAAACAUUAGUUUUUUUGUACUUUAACUUUUUCUCACAAUAAUGACAGGAGUAUACCUAAGUAAUGAAUUGUACAGCAGCGCCACGCCUCUGUGAGCGGGUAUCAAUACUUAGAAAUUCAUCAAUAUCAUCAACUUACUAUUUUCAUAUUCAUUCGACUUGAAAAUUGGACUCCAAAUUACGAAAUCCUUGUUGUCCACUUGAAGCUACCUUAUUUAUCGUUCACCUAAAGCUUUAUGAACCAUAAAACCCUCUUCCCGUUCAUUUGUUGUACAAGUGUCGUGUCUAAUGUCUAUUUUAUGUAUCGCGCGCGAGGUGUCCUCAUUAAACAUCAUAAUUUAUAUUUGAACACGUAAUAACUUUUUUAUUAACUUUUCUUUUAGGUGUUUCCGAGAUAUAAAGUUUUGCAUGUUUAUAAAACUUAUGAAUAUCUUUAUCUAGGUAAGAAUGAUCUUUUUUUUUUUAAUUUAUAAAAAUAACUUCCAUAGAAUGCAUGUAAAACCUCAGUUAUAACAUAGGGUGAGUUACACUGUCAAAUUUGUCUGAUUGAUUAUUAUGUGAUUAUUAUGUGACGUUUAGACAAAUGCGUUUUUCUGUGCGUCUACAACGUUAAAUUUGAUGGUGCAAUUCACCUUUAAUUUCAAAUCCCAUUUUCAAAUUUCGACUAUCCUACAUUCAAAUGCAUAUAUUUAAUAAGUGAAUUAUAAUUAAACCAAAGAUACUACUUAAUUAUGCUUUUAAUUCAGAUGUUCGAUACAAUUGCAUAAAUUCCAAAUCUAUUAAGUACAAUGUACUCGACUCAGAAAAUCAAAUUUAAAUAUAUUCAAAAAUUAUUUCCAAGAAGUGCAUAGCACCAAACACGAAAUAUAAAAUGUUGUAGUCCUUCUGAGAAUGGAAUCUCGCGUGAUACCACCCUGAAAUCGAAUCCUAGGAGUGUCUGCCGCUGACAGCCGACACUCGAGACCCUCACCGAGACGGGCUCAAUAAGCCGCCAGCUCAUCAAAUCUCCAUUUCCAACUAACGCUCGCUGACCGCAGUUAAGUUUAUAGUCGUAGAACUCAUACAAUAAAGUCAAUAAAAGUUUAGAAGUGUCAACGCGCAUAAAUUGAGGCGAUUUUUAAUCACUUUGUCUGUUGCGUGUUGUGUAGAUACCGCAUUGCUACGAGAAUCGUAGGCGUCGUAGUGGUUCUACAAGUAAUGCUACGGGGCAGCGCGGCGGCACAAACAUAAUCCAUAAAUAACAAAAUUAUAAAAAGAAAAUAUUUAUAUUUUUGUUUUGUUUGUAAACUCAAAAACGACUGGGAAAAUUUGAUGAAAAACGGAUAAACGAAACCCUCAGGAGUAACGUAGGCUACUUUUUUGUAUUUUACCCGAGCGAAGCCGGGACGGGCCGCUAGUCGUAUAUUUACAUACUAAUUUAUUUAUAAAUAUGAAGGUGUCUGUAAUAUUUUGGGUCGAUUUUUAUCAAAUUUAGAAUAGAUAAAGUUAACAGCCCGAGGUGAAACAUAGGCUUCCGCAGGCGGAGUUGCGGCCAAAAGCUAGGAAUCGUUAUAUAUUUUUAAUUAUCUACUAAAGUUGCCUGGGGCUUCGAGUUGAGGAAAGAUGUAGCCUUUGUCAUGCUCCACCAUCUCUAUCCCCAACCAUCUCCAGACCAAAAAUCGCCACAGUCCAAUGUUCCGUUUCAACGUUAAAGAAGGAAAAUCAGACAGGCUUUUAUAUUAAUUAUAUUAUUAUGGAUAUGGAAGUAAGGAUUUAAUUAUUCACUAUUGCGUGUUUGGAUAUGUGUGGGCGAGUAGGCGUGGAUGUUUGUCACUAAAUAAUGCAAAAUCUACCCAACGGAUUUUGAUAAAAUUACAUUGGCAGCUGGAGUACAUAAAAUACUUUUUAUCAUGGCCGAGUGUAGUUGUUUCGUAGUAUCUCAUAAUAAUGUGAUUGUUUCACAGGUAAUAAGCAUGGACAGUCGAAAUCCGAAACCUUCGCCAAAAUAACCCUUAAUUGUUCUAUUAAUAAAGAAUUGCGAGUUGAAUUGAGAAAACCUUACAAUCUCCUUCCCUAUAACUUUCUUCUUCACGCUCGUUACAUUCGCUGAUUGUGAUACUUCUAAUCUCUUGUUUUGUAAGAACAAACAUGUAAUUUGUAGAUUGGAGUAAACCCUUGUUUCUGUACAGUGUCGGACCUAAACUCAGAUAAGCCACUGGGUAAUUAUGUGGGCUAGUGGAAAAGGAAAAUAAGAAAUUAUGACAAAGAAAUUACGCCAGGAGGAUUACACAGGAUUGCUUAUUUGUAAAUCUCUUAUGGCUUAUAUUAAUGAACAUUUAUAAUGCCGGCUUCACAUUGUCAUCGAACAGUUUACCAAAUUAUGGCGGAUUCGGUAUACAUUGCUGGUUUUUCUG
Molecule: long non-coding RNA, 3082 nt
Organism: Plodia interpunctella (Indianmeal moth)
Lineage: Eukaryota; Metazoa; Arthropoda; Insecta; Lepidoptera; Pyralidae
Exons: 4
Source: RefSeq, a predicted model, not a curated record